RNAcentral lists this ribosomal RNA (497 nucleotides) under uncultured bacterium. RNAcentral's name for it is "partial 16S ribosomal RNA". It matches the Rfam family "Bacterial small subunit ribosomal RNA", at positions 28 to 507 of the family's 1533-position model. The record is from RNAcentral.
GAUGAACGCUGGCGGCGUGCCUAAUACAUGCAAGUCGAGCGAACGGACGAGAAGCUUGCUUCUCUGAUGUUAGCGGCGGACGGGUGAGUAACACGUGGAUAACCUACCUAUAAGACUGGGAUAACUUCGGGAAACCGGAGCUAAUACCGGAUAAUAUUUUGAACCGCAUGGUUCAAAAGUGAAAGACGGUCUUGCUGUCACUUAUAGAUGGAUCCGCGCUGCAUUAGCUAGUUGGUAAGGUAACGGCUUACCAAGGCAACGAUGCAUAGCCGACCUGAGAGGGUGAUCGGCCACACUGGAACUGGGACACGGUCCAGACUCCUACGGGAGGCAGCAGUAGGGAAUCUUCCGCAAUGGGCGAAAGCCUGACGGAGCAACGCCGCGUGAGUGAUGAAGGUCUUCGGAUCGUAAAACUCUAUUAUUAGGGAAGAACAUAUGUGUAAGUAACUGUGCACAUCUUGACGGUACCUAAUCAGAAAGCCACGGCUAACUACGUG